AAUUCUCAACCUUUCCGGCUUUUGCUAGCCGUGUCGGGCUUGGAUGUGGGGGCUGCGGGCUUCUUUCAAGAAGUCGGCUCUCCUUAAAUGCAUUAGUGAGACCUCUGGUUGACCAUCUCUGGUGUGAUAAUUAUCUACGCCGCUGAGAAUCAGCCUUCAUCAUGGGGUCCUGCUUUCUAACCGUCCUCUCGAGGACAACUCCUGACA
RNAcentral lists this unclassified non-coding RNA (207 nucleotides) under Tricholomella constricta. Its description in RNAcentral is "partial internal transcribed spacer 2". The record is from RNAcentral. Lineage: Eukaryota; Fungi; Basidiomycota; Agaricomycetes; Agaricales; Lyophyllaceae.